This 393-nucleotide ribosomal RNA is filed under the name uncultured bacterium. RNAcentral's name for it is "bacterial SSU rRNA". It matches the Rfam family "Bacterial small subunit ribosomal RNA", at positions 505 to 898 of the family's 1533-position model. The record is from RNAcentral.
GUGUCAGCCGCCGCGGUAAGACGAACCGUGCGAACGUUGUUCGGAAUCACUGGGCUUAAAGGGCGCGUAGGCGGGCCGGCAAGUCGGAGGUGAAAGCCCCCAGCUCAACUGGGGAAGUGCCCUCGAUACUGCCGGCCUGGAGGGAGGUAGGGGCGUGCGGAACUUCCGGUGGAGCGGUGAAAUGCGUAGAUAUCGGAAGGAACACCGGUGGCGAAGGCGGCACGCUGGGCCUCUCCUGACGCUGAGGCGCGAAAGCCAGGGGAGCGAACGGGAUUAGAUACCCCGGUAGUCCUGGCCCUAAACGAUGGGCACUAGGUAGCGGGCUUCCAUGGGCCCGCUGCCGGAGCAAAAGUGUUAAGUGCCCCGCCUGGGGAGUAUGGUCGCAAGGCUGAA